CAAAGUGUAGCUUAAUUAAAGCACCUGGCCUACACCCAGAAGAUUUCAUUUUAAUGACCGCUUUGA
RNAcentral lists this transfer RNA (66 nucleotides) under Elephantulus brachyrhynchus (short-snouted elephant shrew). RNAcentral's name for it is "tRNA-Val". It matches the Rfam family "tRNA". Rfam says of the family: Transfer RNA (tRNA) molecules are approximately 80 nucleotides in length. Lineage: Eukaryota; Metazoa; Chordata; Mammalia; Macroscelidea; Macroscelididae. The record is from RNAcentral.